GACGAACGCUGGCGGCGUGCUUAACACAUGCAAGUCGAACGAAGAGCGAUGGAAGCUUGCUUCUAUCAAUCUUAGCGGCGAACGGGUGAGUAACGCGUAAUCAACCUGCCCUUCAGAGGGGGACAACAGUUGGAAACGACUGCUAAUACCGCAUACGAUCUAACCUCGGCAUCGAGGAAAGAUGAAAGGUGGCCUCUAUGUAUAAGCUAUCACUGAAGGAGGGGAUUGCGUCUGAUUAGCUAGUUGGAGGGGUAACGGCCCACCAAGGCGAUGAUCAGUAGCCGGUCUGAGAGGAUGAACGGCCACAUUGGGACUGAGACACGGCCCAGACUCCUACGGGAGGCAGCAGUGGGGAAUCUUCCGCAAUGGACGAAAGUCUGACGGAGCAACGCCGCGUGAGUGAUGACGGCCUUCGGGUUGUAAAGCUCUGCUAAUCGGGACGAAAGGCCUUCUUGCGAAUAGUGAGAAGGAUUGACGGUACCGGAAUAGAAAGCCACGGCUAACUACGUG
RNAcentral lists this ribosomal RNA (510 nucleotides) under uncultured bacterium. RNAcentral's name for it is "partial 16S ribosomal RNA". It matches the Rfam family "Bacterial small subunit ribosomal RNA", at positions 28 to 507 of the family's 1533-position model. The record is from RNAcentral.